This 839-nucleotide ribosomal RNA is filed under the name uncultured Glomeromycotina. Its description in RNAcentral is "eukaryotic LSU rRNA". It matches the Rfam family "Eukaryotic large subunit ribosomal RNA", at positions 1 to 692 of the family's 3401-position model. Lineage: Eukaryota; Fungi; Glomeromycota. The record is from RNAcentral.
ACCUCAAAUCAGGCAAGAAUACCCGCUGAACUUAAGCAUAUCAAUAAGCGGAGGAAAAGAAACUAACAAGGAUUCCCCCUAGUAACGGCGAGUGAAGAAGGGAAGAGCUNNNAUUUUAAAUCUNCCUUGUUCAAGGUCGAGUUGUAAUUUGAAGAAGCGUUUUCUUGGGCUCGCGGCCGGUAGAAGUUCUUUGGAACAGGACAUCAUAGAGGGUGACAAUCCCGUCUGCGACCGGUCGUGUGUUCAUCUACGAUACGCUUUCAAAGAGUCGAGUUGUUUGGGAUUGCAGCUCCAAAUGGGUGGUAAACAUCACCUAAGGCUAAAUAUUGGCGAGAGACCGAUAGCGAACAAGUACCGUGAGGGAAAGAUGAAAAGAACUUUGAAAAGAGAGUUAAACAGUACGUGAAAUUGUUGAAAGGGAAACGAUUGAAGUCAGUCGUGCUGGCGUGAAAUCAACCCUCUCAUUGCGAUACCACAUGUUGUGGCGAGCCUCAAAACCGCCACAGCAUGCGGUAUUGCGAUGAGGGGGAGCACUUUUGUGUCCGCUGGUUAACAUCAAUUUCGAACGUCAUAAAAAGGCUGGAGGGAUGUGGCUCCUUCGGGAGUGUUAUAACCUUUAGCGGAAUGUGAUGGUCGGGAUUGAGGAUUGCAACGAAUACCUUUAGGGCUGUUCCACCUGGCUUCUCUUUGGUAUCCUGGUGACGACAGCUUGCUGACGUUGUUAGGAUUCGCCUUUGAACAGGCUAGAGUGUGAGCAAAUUCGUUAAGGAUGUUAACGUAAUGGCUUUAAACGACCCGUCUUGAAACACGGACCAAGGAGUCUAACAUAUAUGCGAGUG